GUUUCCGUAGUGUAGUGGUUAUCACGUGUGCUUCACACGCACAAGGUCCCCGGUUCGAUCCCGGGC
RNAcentral lists this transfer RNA (66 nucleotides) under Pogonomyrmex barbatus (red harvester ant). Its description in RNAcentral is "tRNA-Val". It matches the Rfam family "tRNA". Rfam says of the family: Transfer RNA (tRNA) molecules are approximately 80 nucleotides in length. Their secondary structure includes four short double-helical elements and three loops (D, anti-codon, and T loops). The record is from RNAcentral. Lineage: Eukaryota; Metazoa; Arthropoda; Insecta; Hymenoptera; Formicidae.